GUUUGCAGGUCGCAGACUCCAAGAUUCCAGAAGGCGCGAGGCUCCGGGGUGGUGGCGGUGGGGAACCCUGGGGCUGGAGCUCCCAGUUGGGAGGACCCGCUUCCUGGCGAAAUGCCAUCCUCUGCCUAGGACCAGCUGAACACACAGGGCUAACAGGCUGCUAACCUUCUCUACUUGUCUGUACAGAGGGAAGACCAUAUGAAGACACAAUAAGGUGCCCAUCUGCAAGCCAAGGAGAGAGACUGCAGAAGAAACCAAACCUUCUGACAUCUUGAUCUUGGACUUCUAUCUUCCAAAAAUUAACCGGAGCCACUGCAGUCAGAUUAUUAACUCAUUGUGCCAUGGCAGGAACCCUGGGCUCUACCUUUUAAAGAUCCCUAUUUUCACUCAUUAUUAGAGAGCUGAAUUCUAAAUCAAAGAUUGUGGAGAAGAGAUGUGCAACCUGAAUAAAACAUUUCCAGAAGAGACUGAAUAAUGGUCCUGAAUAAAGGGAACUGAAAUGUUCUUGAAUUGUAAUUGGAAAAAACUCAAGUGUGUGUACUCAGGAGCACAUGUACUAAGAAGAGGUUAGUUAUUAUUAUUCUUAGUGCUGUUUAACAUCUCUGGGGCCCUGAUAGUAUUUUUAGUUCUGAAUUGAACACAAGUGGUCUGAUGAGUGAUCUCCCAUCCAAAUUAUCCAUGUGGAGAUCACCUGUAAUCAUUCUCUGUGCAGAGAGAGCAGCUCUGAUAAGCAACCCCAGAGCAGGUGGACUCUUUAUGCAGCAGUGUAAUCUAACCCACAGCAAACUAAAGUGAUUAGUUCAGACAAAUAGAGCCUUUGAAAAUAACAUUUGACACUUUCUACUCUUACCUGAUUUCUCCAUAGUGGGACAUUCACAAGUUAGUAAACACAUUUGUUAGACUCAGACAAACUUGCUGAGAUAUUGAAGAAGGAAGUACAGGUAGAUUGAGGAUGACUGAAGAUUAGGGUCAAUCUCUGCCCUCAAGGAUUUUAUGCUCCGCAAAUAAGCAAUGGAAGGUCUUUUUUUCUUUGUCUCAUAUAAAAAAUGCAGAAAAAACAGUGAAAUCUACUUUUGAGAAACUGUAUCUGAUACUUAAUUCUGAAAAACUGUAUUAAAAAAAAUUCUGAAGUGAUGAAUAUUAUUGUCCAGAGGAAAUUAAAAAUAGAGUAUAAUCAUGAUAAUUAAAUGUUAUAUGGAAUUGAGAAAGGUAGGUGAGUCAUAAUAGAAUCUAUAAGAUUGAAUACAUGUUUCUAUGUGUAAAUUUCUGUGCUGGUUACUUUACAUGUACAAAGGAAGAACUGGUCCCACCCACCCAUAAGAAGGAAAUAAACAUCCACCAGUAAUUUUAAUAUAGGGAACACUUGGAAUUUUAAACUAAGAAGUACAGGGUUUAUUCUUGAGGCAUUGGGGAGCUGUUGAAAAUUUUUGAGCAGGUGAGUGACAUGUCCAGAAUUGCGUUUUAUGAAGAUUAACCUGAUGGCAUUUUCAGGAUUGAUUAGCAUGAAGCCUGUAUUGUGACAGAACAGAUUGUGAUAAUGCAAGUCUGAAAUAUGGUGGUGGCAAUGAGAAUAGAAAGGAAGAAAUUGAUUUGAAAGAUCCAUGACAAUAGUACUACGGGACUUGAUUAUUAAAUAUGGGACCUGAAGGAGGGAGACGUCAGAGAUGACUCUAGACACUUUGAGCCUGAGAAGAGAAAUCAAGUAUGGAAGAGAAAGAAUGCCCUGUCACUGGUUUAUUAUUAUCUCCUGGAUGCUAUGAAUCAUGUAAUCUAUGGCAUUUAAAAAUCAUGGGUCCAAAUCCAUGUACCACAUCUACUCAUUAGACUGUGUCAUCCUGGCAUAUAUUUUUUUUUGCAUCAUGAUCCAUUGCCAACCAUAGAUUUUAAAUUACUACAAUACAGUGUGUGGCAAAACUGUGGUUGACUAGACUAAGAGAAAAGAAAUAUCUUUUUUUGCAUUUUUAGUAAGUCUCAGGCAAAUGCUUGAAUAACUACUUGGCAUGUUCACAAAUUAUGAAGAUCCUGAAGGGCAUGCAUUUCUACUUUUCUAUUCACAUGAGAGCAUGGGGUUUAAAUAGAUGCCUUUUAUUGAAGCAUCCCCUAGACUCAUGUAAGUUGUCCAGAAAA
This is a non-coding RNA of Sus scrofa (pig), 2127 nucleotides long. The record is from RefSeq and is a predicted model, not a curated record. Lineage: Eukaryota; Metazoa; Chordata; Mammalia; Artiodactyla; Suidae.